Molecule: long non-coding RNA, 1138 nt
Organism: Armigeres subalbatus
Lineage: Eukaryota; Metazoa; Arthropoda; Insecta; Diptera; Culicidae
Exons: 3
Source: RefSeq, a predicted model, not a curated record
UUAGCAUUUUGAUGGAAAUGUCAAAAAGUGAGUAACAUUAUAUUUAUCAAGUGAGUCAAUUUUCACUCACUUGUCAGAGUUUAAAGGUUUACUCACUUUUGCGUAAUUGUUUUCAAACCGUCAAACAGUUUGAAAAUUUUCCAUUAAAAGAAUUUCAUAUUUUUAUAAAGUUUUUGAGUUUUGUUGUGAAUUUGAUGUGGUGAGCAGAGCGUGGUGGUGGUGAUCUGGCUAGGCAUGGUCCGCAAGGAUUCUUGCAGAAACUGGUAGUUCCGCAGCUCGAUCGAUCUGGAGUUGUUUUGUUGAUUUUUUGACGACGGAGGAUUCAAGGCCGGAUUUGAUUAUAUAUUAUCUCCGAUUAUGGCUUUUAUGUCGCCCAGGAACUAAUGAAACUUGAUGGUGCCCAGGAACUUGACUUUUGCCCAAGUGUCAUGGAUAUAUGCCCUAAAUGUACCGGAUCAUGAUGCAAACCGACACCCGGACCGCCAAGGGCCAGUAUUACAACGGAACCGCAAUGGAGAGUAUCUUCCGGACCAUUUGUGAUGCGUUUCAACUGUCGGUAUUGUCAGGGACCGUGAUUGUAUAUUAAAGAUAUUGAAUGUGGAGUGUGCCUGAAGACGACAGAUAGUCAUGCGGAAGCGGGUAUCCGUCCUAUAGUGCCGGCCGGCAUUUGGGAUAGACAGACGGAUCCAAAAAAGGAUCUCUUAAUUUCAACGUAUAGAAGUGUAGCGACACGGUUCCGAUGUGCACUCUGAAGCAAUAAUUUUCCUCUCACAAGCGGUCCUCUAUGGCAGGAUACGGGUGCAGGGCGUCUACGAAAAUCAAACCAUCCAGGUGGUCUCGGACACUGACACAUCGUAGCACACCCGCAUCAGUCUCCGUGGCAAGGGUCUUAAACAGGUCAAUAACUGGCACCGGCGACGAUUACGUUCAGUUGGAAAUCUAGGUCCAGAUCAAACUGAACAAACAGGUAGCUCUGAUGCAGACAUACGCAGAAUUGGAUGAAGAUACCCGCGGCCAAAGCAUGGGCGUCACUUUCGCGACUGACGAUUUAGUCUCGGUCUCGGGUUUAUAAACCCCCUAUAGUCCCCCUCCGGAUCAGACUCGUCUAGUUCUUCGUCAAACAACCUUAGAAGAAACC